Molecule: ribosomal RNA, 800 nt
Filed under: Staphylococcus sp. SP-1.0
Lineage: Bacteria; Bacillati; Bacillota; Bacilli; Caryophanales; Staphylococcaceae
Description: bacterial SSU rRNA
Rfam family: Bacterial small subunit ribosomal RNA
Source: RNAcentral
AGUCGAGCGAACAGAUAAGGAGCUUGCUCCUUUGAAGUUAGCGGCGGACGGGUGAGUAACACGUGGGUAACCUACCUAUAAGACUGGAAUAACUUCGGGAAACCGGAGCUAAUGCCGGAUAACAUAUAGAACCGCAUGGUUCUAUAGUGAAAGAUGGUUUUGCUAUCACUUAUAGAUGGACCCGCGCCGUAUUAGCUAGUUGGUAAGGUAAAGGCUUACCAAGGCGACGAUACGUAGCCGACCUGAGAGGGUGAUCGGCCACACUGGAACUGAGACACGGUCCAGACUCCUACGGGAGGCAGCAGUAGGGAAUCUUCCGCAAUGGGCGAAAGCCUGACGGAGCAACGCCGCGUGAGUGAUGAAGGUUUUCGGAUCGUAAAACUCUGUUAUUAGGGAAGAACAAAUGCGUAAGUAACUGUGCGCAUCUUGACGGUACCUAAUCAGAAAGCCACGGCUAACUACGUGCCAGCAGCCGCGGUAAUACGUAGGUGGCAAGCGUUAUCCGGAAUUAUUGGGCGUAAAGCGCGCGUAGGCGGUUUCUUAAGUCUGAUGUGAAAGCCCACGGCUCAACCGUGGAGGGUCAUUGGAAACUGGGAAACUUGAGUGCAGAAGAGGAAAGUGGAAUUCCAUGUGUAGCGGUGAAAUGCGCAGAGAUAUGGAGGAACACCAGUGGCGAAGGCGACUUUCUGGUCUGUAACUGACGCUGAUGUGCGAAAGCGUGGGGAUCAAACAGGAUUAGAUACCCUGGUAGUCCACGCCGUAAACGAUGAGUGCUAAGUGUUAGGGGGUUUCCGCCCCUU